CCAAUAGCGUAUAUUAAAGUUGUUGCAGUUAAAAAGCUCGUAGUUGAAUUUCGGGAUCAAUAUGUCGGUCGUGCUUCGGUACGUACUUGCAUUAUUGGUUUCUCCCUUCUGAAGAACCAUGAUGUCAUUAAUUUGGUGUCUUGGGGAAUCAGGACUGUUACUUUGAAAAAAUUAGAGUGUUUAAAGCAGGCUAACGCUUGAAUACAUUAGCAUGGAAUAAUGAAAUAGGACGUUUGAUUCUAUUUUGUUGGUUUCUAGGAUCGACGUAAUGAUUAAUAGGGAUAGUUGGGGGCAUUAGUAUUCAAUUGUCAGAGGUGAAAUUCUUGGAUUUAUUGAAGACUAACUACUGCGAAAGCAUUUGCCAAGGAUGUUUUCAUUAAUCAAGAACGAAAGUUAGGGGAUCGAAGACGAUCAGAUACCGUCGUAGUCUUAACCAUAAACUAUGCCGACUAGGGAUCGGAUGAUGUUAUUUUUGAUGACUCAUUCGGCGCCUUACG
RNAcentral lists this ribosomal RNA (497 nucleotides) under uncultured Glomeromycotina. RNAcentral describes it as "partial small subunit ribosomal RNA". It matches the Rfam family "Eukaryotic small subunit ribosomal RNA", at positions 591 to 1092 of the family's 1831-position model. Lineage: Eukaryota; Fungi; Glomeromycota. The record is from RNAcentral.